GGUAGUAUAGUUCAGUGGUAGAGUGUUUAACCAGCAUUCAUGAGACCCUGGGUUCAAUUCCCAGUACGAUAA
This 72-nucleotide transfer RNA is filed under the name Neotoma lepida (desert woodrat). It matches the Rfam family "tRNA". Rfam says of the family: Transfer RNA (tRNA) molecules are approximately 80 nucleotides in length. The record is from Rfam by way of RNAcentral. Lineage: Eukaryota; Metazoa; Chordata; Mammalia; Rodentia; Cricetidae.